Non-coding RNA from Picea glauca (white spruce), 123 nucleotides. The record is from Rfam. NCBI's taxonomy places the organism in Eukaryota, Viridiplantae, Streptophyta, Pinopsida, Pinales, Pinaceae.
AUGUACAUGCCUACAACAAAACAUUAAUGCACUAGAUCCCAUUAGAACUCCACAGUUAAGCGUGCUCGGGCUAGAGUAGUAUUGGGAAGGGUCAUUGCCCGAGAAGUGCUAGUGUUUUACAUG